GCAGUAAUCCCAGCCUGCAGGCAUUCCUUUGCCCAGUGGCCAGAUUUCUUGCACUUGUAGCAAGCUCCUGGGGGAGGAGAUUCUGGAGAAAACCCUGGCAGCUGCGGUUAAGGCGUUUGGAGUUGUUGUGUGCUGGAGAUGUGGCUGGGGUUUCUCUCACAGUGGAGGAAAGGAAUUGCAACUCAGAAAUACAUUGCUACUUGGCUGCCUCUACUCUAUUAUUGUACACCUUGAAGACACAUCCUGGGAUGGACACUACCCAGUCAUUUUAUCUACCCCAACUGCAGUUAAAGUAGUUGGAAUGGAGUCUUGGAUACAUCACACUUGAGUCAAACCCUGGAUACUGCCAAAGGAACCUGAAAAUCCAGGAGACAAUGCUAGCUAUUCCUGUGAACCUCUAGAGGAUCUGCGCCUGCUCUUCAAGCAACAACCGUGAGGAAAGUAACUAGAAUCAUAGAUCCCCAUGACCCUCCCUUGUCAUGUUUUUCUUCUUACUGUCCUCUUACCCCCUUUCACACUCACUGCACCUCCUCUAUGCCACUGUACUACCAGUAGUUCCCCUUACCAAGAGCUUCUAUGGAGAAUGCAGCUUCCUGGAAAUAUUGAUGCCCCGUUGUAUAGGAGUUUUUCUAAAGGAAACCCCACUUUCACCACCCACACCCAUAUGUCCCUACAUUUCAGGCCAUACAUUUCAAUCCGUGUAUCUUUAACCUCCUUGUUAAAUUUUUCUUUUCCAGAAUCAAGGUUGUAAAACUACAAAUCAUUCUUCAAAUGGAGCCCCAGAUACAGUCCAUGACUAAGAUCUACUGCAGGCCCCUGGACCAGCCUGCUAGCCCAUGCUCUGAUGUUGAUGACAUCAAAGGCACCCCUCCUGAGGAACUCUCAACUGCACAACCCCUACUACACCCGAAUUCAGCAGGAAGCAGAGCAGUCAUCAGCCAACCUCCCCAACAGUACUUGGGUUUUCCUGUUGAGAGGGGGACUGAGAGACAGGACUAGCUGGACUUCCCUAGGCUGACUAAGAAUUCCUAAGCCUAGCUGGAGAAGGUGAUCGCACCCACCUUUAAGCACCGGGCUUGUAACUCAGCUCACACCCGACCAAUCAGGUAGUAAAGAGGGCUCACUAAAAUACAAAUUAGACUAAAAGUAGGAGGUAAAGAAAUAGUCAAAUCAUCUAUCAUCUGAGAGCACAGGGGGAGGGAAAAUGAUUGGGAUAUAAACUCCAGGUAUUCAAGCCGGGAGUGAGAAACCCCCUUUGGGUCCCCUCCCUUUGUAUGGGAGCUCUGUUUUCACUCUAUUAAAUCUUGCAACUGCAAAGUAAAAAAAUUUGUAAAAGUGCACCAAAAAUAUGUAAAAUAUCUUAUAUCAAUAAAAAAUAAAAUAAAAUAAAAACUUUUGGAAAGCAAAAUUAUGGCUAGAUAAGAGGAGAAAGUACUAGUAUUCGAUACCAAGGAUCCCCAACCCCUGGGCCACAGACUGGUACUGGUAUGUGGCCUGUUAGGAACCAGACCACACAGCAGGAGGUGAGCAGCAGGUGAGCGAGCAGCCCCUUCAGAUCAGUGGGGUCAUGAGAUUCUCAUAGGAGUGCAAACCUAUAGUGAACUGUGCAUGCAAGGGAUCUAGGUUGCAUGCUGCUUGUAAGAAUCUAACUGAUGAUCUAAGGUGAAACAGUUUCAUCCCGAAACCAUUCCCCAUCCCCCACCCAUUUUUGUCUUCCACCAGACUGGUCCCUGGUGCCAACAAGGUUGGAGAUCACUGUUCUAUAGCACUGUAGGAAGACUAUAGUUAACAAUAAUGCAUUAUAUAGUUUCAAGUAACUAAAAGGAGGCUAUUGAAUGUUCCCAACACAAAGAAAUGACAAAUGUUUGAGAUUAUCGGUAUGCUAAUAUCCCUGAUUUGAUCACUAUACAUUAUAGGUAUCAAAACAUCACUAUGUGGCUGGGCAUGGUGGCUCACACCUAUAAACCCAGCACUUUGGGAGGCCAAGGCAGGCGGAUCACUUGAGGUCAGGAGUUCAAGGCCAGCCUGGGCAACAUUGUGAAAAUCUCUGCUGAAAAUACAAAAGUUAGCUAGGUGUGGUGGUGUGUGCCUGUAGUCCCAGCCACUUGGGAGAAUGAGGCAGGAGAAUCGCUUGAACCUGGGAGGCAGAGGUUGCAGUGAGCUGAGAUGGCACCACUGCACUCCAGCCUGGGUUACAGAGGGAGACUCUGUCUCAAAAAAAAAAAAAAAGAAUAAUGGUCUCCAACUCCAUCCAGGUUGCUGCUAAUGCCAUUAUUUUGUUCCUUUUUAUGCCUAAGUAGUAUUCCAUGGUGUGUGUGUGUGUGUAUAUGUACAUAUAUAUGUAACAUUUUCUUUAUCCACUCAUUGCUUGAUGGGCAUUUAGACUGGUUCCAUAUUUUUGCAAUUGCGAAUUGUGCUACUAUAAACAUGCGUGUGCAAAUGCCUUUUUCAUAUAAUGACUUAUUUUCCUCUGGGUAGAUACCCAGGAGUGGGAUUGCUGGAUAAAAUGGUAGAUCUACUUUUCAUUCUUUAAGUAAUCUCCAUACUGAUUUCCAUAGUGGUUGAACGAGUUUACAUUCCUACCAGCCAUAUAAAAGUGAUCCCUUUUCACCACAUCCAUGUCAACGUCUGUUUUUUUAAAUUAUGGCCAUUCUUGCAAAAGUAAAAUGGUAUCUCCUUGUGGUUUAGAUUUGCAUUGCCCUAAUAAUUAGUGAUGUUGAGCAUUUUUUCAUAUGUUUGUUGGCCAUUUGUAUAUCUUCUUAUGAAUUGUCUAUUCAUGUCCUUUACCCACUUUUUAAUGAAAUUAUGUGAUUUUUUUCUUGCUGAUUUACAGAACAAGCACAAUACAAGUGUUUUUUCUUGCUAAUUUGUUUGAAUUCCUUGUAGAUUCUGGAUAUUAGUCCAUUGUCAGAUACAUAGUUUGCAAAUAUUUUCUCCCACUCUGUGGGUUGUCUGUUUGCUCUGCUGAUUAUUUCUUUUGCUAUGCAGAAGCUUUUUAGUUUAAUUAGGUCCCAUCUAUUUAUCUUCAUUUUUAUUGCAUUUGCUUCUGGGUUCUUGGUCAUGAACUUUUUGCCUAAACCAACAUCUAGAAGAGUUUUUCCAAUGUUAUUUUCUAGAAUUGUUAUGGUUUCAGGUCUUAGAGUCAAGACUUUGACCCAUUUUGAGUUGAUUUUUGUAUAAAGUGAGAGACGAGGAUCCAGCUUUAUUUUUCUACAUGUGGCUUGCCAAUUAUCCCUGCACUAUUUGUGGAAUAGGGUGUCCUUUCCCCACUUUAUGUUUUCAUUUGCUUUGUCAGAGAUCAGUUGGCUGUAAAUAUUUGGCUUUGUUUCUGGGUUCUCUAUUCUGUUCCAUUGGAACAGAACACAUGCCUAUUUUAAUACCAGUACCAUGCUUUAUUGGUAACUAUAGCUGGGCGCUUGUCUCCCUUUUCUUUUUUGCAAAACCGCCACAGAUAUCAUUGCUUGUUCUCAGUGGCGGCUUUCUCUCCAGAGGUGGCUUCCACAUCUACAGACUAUAUAAAGACAAAUAACACAGAUUAAAAGCACAAUCAUUGAAA
Long non-coding RNA from Pongo pygmaeus (Bornean orangutan), 3556 nucleotides. RefSeq lists it as uncharacterized. The transcript is spliced from 2 exons. Lineage: Eukaryota; Metazoa; Chordata; Mammalia; Primates; Hominidae. The record is from RefSeq and is a predicted model, not a curated record.